RNAcentral lists this ribosomal RNA (504 nucleotides) under Lysinibacillus sphaericus. RNAcentral describes it as "bacterial SSU rRNA". It matches the Rfam family "Bacterial small subunit ribosomal RNA", at positions 374 to 870 of the family's 1533-position model. The record is from RNAcentral. Lineage: Bacteria; Bacillati; Bacillota; Bacilli; Caryophanales; Bacillaceae.
GGGCGAAUCCUGAUGGAGCACGCCGCGUGAGUGAAGAAGGUUUUCGGAUCGUAAAACUCUGUUGUAAGGGAAGAACAAGUACAGUAGUAACUGGCUGUACCUUGACGGUACCUUAUUAGAAAGCCACGGCUAACUACGUGNCAGCAGCCGCGGUAAUACGUAGGUGGCAAGCGUUGUCCGGAAUUAUUGGGCGUAAAGCGCGCGCAGGCGGUCCUUUAAGUCUGAUGUGAAAGCCCACGGCUCAACCGUGGAGGGUCAUUGGAAACUGGGGGACUUGAGUGCAGAAGAGGAAAGUGGAAUUCCAAGUGUAGCGGUGAAAUGCGUAGAGAUUUGGAGGAACACCAGUGGCGAAGGCGACUUUCUGGUCUGUAACUGACGCUGAGGCGCGAAAGCGUGGGGAGCAAACAGGAUUAGAUACCCUGGUAGUCCACGCCGUAAACGAUGAGUGCUAAGUGUUAGGGGGUUUCCGCCCCUUAGUGCUGCAGCUAACGCAUUAAGCACUCC